This 831-nucleotide unclassified non-coding RNA is filed under the name Spisula solidissima (Atlantic surf clam). RNAcentral describes it as "partial cnRNA102". The record is from RNAcentral. Lineage: Eukaryota; Metazoa; Mollusca; Bivalvia; Venerida; Mactridae.
GAUUAAAUAUCGAUUUUCCUAACCAUGUUUUCCUGGACCUACCAUCCCCAGUACUAACUACCCUUUCACAAGGCCGACAACGUCACCACAUGUGGAGGAAAAUCGAUAUUUAAUCGAAUUUUCAUGGAAGGGUAUUACCUGCUGCGACCGAGAUUUGAACCCGGACCUCCCGGUUACAAGCGAAUGAACUAACCGCUCGGCCACGGUCGCGGCUUCAGAAUAUUUUAAACCAAUGCGUUGAAUACAUUUGGUGGAAUAAGCAAAUUUCACGAUUUAUUGAGACAACCUUCGUAUUAAAAGUGUUUUUAUUCACCUAAUGUGAGAUUAAAAUGUACACCCUAUUGGACAUCUAUCGCUUGUCACUUACGUCUAGUUAUGAUGUCAUUUUCGGUAGGAAAUUCAAGUGCGAGACGGACAGUCUGUGGUUUUGCGUUGACGUGUUUCAGAAUGGCACGACUUACCGCUAUAGAUAGGCGUUACAUACGUGUAAACAUUCACAUUUACUGUCAAUGAAUGACAGUCAUAUGACUACAGUAAAAUCUCACUGCUAGACCAUCUUUAUAAUAAGACCACCUCGAUAGUAAGACCGCGAUUAAUGGUUUAAUACGUGUCGGUUUGCUCUUGAUUUAACCUCAAUAUUAAGUCCAACUCAAUACUAAGACCAGUCUUUAAGGGUCCCCAUGGUGGUCGUAUUCGGGAGGUUUUACUGAAGCCCGGCACAUGUGUUCCGGCUUAUGAUGGUCAGAUAUGUUUGCAGUUAGAAGAAGUUUUCUAAUCAAGCGGGAAAAUGUUGAGACUUAGCAAUUUAUUGAUUAAGCAACCUCGCAAAGU